GAUGAAGAACGUAGCGAAAUGCGAUACGUAGUGUGAAUUGCAGAAUUCAGUGAAUCAUCGAAUCUUUGCACGCACAUUGCACCUCUCGGUAUUCCGGGAGGUAUGCCUGUUCGAGCGUCAUUUGUACCCUCAAGCUCUGCUUGGUGUUGGGUGUUUGUUCCGCCUCUGUGUGUGAACUCGCCUCAAAACAAUUGGCAGCCGGCGUACUUGUUUCGGAGCGCAGCACAUUUUGCGAUCCAGAUCAACGUACAGCGGCAUCCAAGAAGCCUUAUUUAACGCUCUUGACCUCGGAUCAGGUAGGGAUACCCGCUGAACUUAAGCAUAUCAAUAAGCGGAGGA
Molecule: unclassified non-coding RNA, 339 nt
Filed under: soil metagenome
Description: partial contains 5.8S ribosomal RNA, internal transcribed spacer 2, and large subunit ribosomal RNA
Rfam family: 5.8S ribosomal RNA (bases 1-120)
Source: RNAcentral